CUUCCUCACAGACAUCAACGGCCUCACUGAGAAGGCUCAUUUCCUGUCAUUGGUGAUGUUCAUGCUUCUCUGUCUCCACACAGGGGGCGACGAUGGCCUUCUGAGGGGCUGGGACACCAGGGUACCCGGCAAAUUUCUCUUCACUAGCAAAAGACACACCAUGGGCGUGUGCAGCAUCCAGAGCAGCCCCCAUCGGGAGCACAUCCUGGCCACGGGAAGCUAUGAUGAGCACAUCCUACUGUGGGACACACGAAACAUGAAGCAGCCGUUGGCAGACACGCCCGUGCAGGGUGGGGUAUGGAGAAUCAAGUGGCACCCUUUCCACCACCACCUGCUCCUGGCCGCCUGCAUGCACAGUGGCUUUAAGAUCCUCAACUGCCAAAAGGCAAUGGCUGUAGAAGACGUCCUGCUGGCCCGAGUGGGCGUGUUGAGCGAUUGCUGGAUGAAAGACUAGCGGAGGUCCUGCCUGCCCGGUGACGCUACCUCCCAGGGGACAGUAACGGCCUCCCCAGGGGCUUCCUCCCGUGGGUCGCCCCACACAUGCUGCUUGAGGGCCCCUGUGGCUGUCUCUGAACGUUCAGCAUCUCACUCCUCCUCGGAGCCAC
RNAcentral lists this small RNA (605 nucleotides) under Pongo abelii (Sumatran orangutan). Its description in RNAcentral is "processed transcript". Lineage: Eukaryota; Metazoa; Chordata; Mammalia; Primates; Hominidae. The record is from RNAcentral.